UGACGGGGGCCCGCACAAGCGGUGGAGCAUGUGGUUUAAUUCGAUGCAACGCGAAGAACCUUACCUGGUCUUGACAUCCACAGAACUUUCCAGAGAUGGAUUGGUGCCUUCGGGAACUGUGAGACAGGUGCUGCAUGGCUGUCGUCAGCUCGUGUUGUGAAAUGUUGGGUUAAGUCCCGCAACGAGCGCAACCCUUAUCCU
Molecule: ribosomal RNA, 201 nt
Filed under: Salmonella enterica subsp. enterica serovar Infantis
Lineage: Bacteria; Pseudomonadati; Pseudomonadota; Gammaproteobacteria; Enterobacterales; Enterobacteriaceae
Description: partial 16S ribosomal RNA
Rfam family: Bacterial small subunit ribosomal RNA
Source: RNAcentral